CUACGGGACGCUGCAGUGGGGAAUAUUGCACAAUGGAGGAAACUCUGAUGCAGCAACGCCGCGUGGAGGAUGACACUUUUCGGAGCGUAAACUCCUUUUAUAUAGGAAGAAGAUGACGGUACUAUAUGAAUAAGCGCCGGCUAACUCCGUGCCAGCAGCCGCGGUAAUACGGAGGGCGCAAGCGUUACUCGGAAUCACUGGGCGUAAAGUGCGUGUAGGCGGAUUAAAAAGUCAGAAGUGAAAUCCUAUAGCUUAACUAUAGAACUGCUUCUGAAACUCUUAAUCUAGAAUAUGGGAGAGGUAGAUGGAAUUUCUGGUGUAGGGGUAAAAUCCGUAGAGAUCAGAAGGAAUACCGAUUGCGAAGGCGAUCUACUAGAACAUUACUGACGCUAAGGCGUGAAAGCGUGGGGAGCAAACAGGAUUAGAUACCCUGGUAGUC
Molecule: ribosomal RNA, 439 nt
Filed under: uncultured bacterium
Lineage: Bacteria
Description: partial 16S ribosomal RNA
Rfam family: Bacterial small subunit ribosomal RNA
Source: RNAcentral